GGGGAAUUUUCCGCAAUGGGCGCAAGCCUGACGGAGCAAUACCGCGUGAGGGAAGAAGGCUUUUGGGUUGUAAACCUCUUUUCUCAGGGAAGAAGCAAUGACGGUACCUGAGGAAUCAGCAUCGGCUAACUCCGUGCCAGCAGCCGCGGUAAUACGGAGGAUGCAAGCGUUAUCCGGAAUUAUUGGGCGUAAAGCGUCCGCAGGUGGCUAGUCAAGUCUGCGGUCAAAGACAGAAGCUAAACUUCUGGAAGGCCGUGGAAACGGGCAAGCUAGGGUACGGUAGGGGUAGAGGGAAUUCCCAGUGUAGCGGUGAAAUGCGUAGAGAUUGGGAAGAACACCAGUGGCGAAAGCGCUCUACUGGGCCUGUACUGACACUGAGGGACGAAAGCUAGGGGAGCGAAAGGGAUUAGAUACCCCUGUAGUC
RNAcentral lists this ribosomal RNA (424 nucleotides) under uncultured cyanobacterium. RNAcentral's name for it is "bacterial SSU rRNA". It matches the Rfam family "Bacterial small subunit ribosomal RNA", at positions 356 to 795 of the family's 1533-position model. Lineage: Bacteria; Bacillati; Cyanobacteriota. The record is from RNAcentral.